UACGGAGGGUGCAAGCGUUGUCCGGAUUUAUUGGGUUUAAAGGGUGCGUAGGCGGCCCGUUAAGUCAGUGGUGAAAGCCUCCAGCUCAACUGGAGAACUGCCAUUGAUACUGGCGGGCUUGAGUACAGACGAGGUAGGCGGAAUUGAUUGUGUAGCGGUGAAAUGCAUAGAUACAAUCAAGAACACCGAUUGCGUAGGCAGCUUACUAGGCUGUAACUGACGCUGAGGCACGAAAGCGUGGGGAACGAACAGG
RNAcentral lists this ribosomal RNA (253 nucleotides) under uncultured bacterium. Its description in RNAcentral is "partial 16S ribosomal RNA". It matches the Rfam family "Bacterial small subunit ribosomal RNA", at positions 524 to 776 of the family's 1533-position model. The record is from RNAcentral.